This is an RNA transcript of Crotalus tigris (Tiger rattlesnake), 8583 nucleotides long. It is a transcript of the gene named FER tyrosine kinase, with no coding region annotated. The record is from RefSeq and is a predicted model, not a curated record. NCBI's taxonomy places the organism in Eukaryota, Metazoa, Chordata, Lepidosauria, Squamata, Viperidae. The transcript is spliced from 21 exons.
GGUUCUGCUGUGAAGAGACUCUUACAAGUAACCUUGUCAACAUUAAUGAGCAAAAUGUUGGAGAAAUAAAUGUCUUCACUAUCCUAAUUACCGGUCACAUCCAGCUGCUGAAAGUUAAAAAAAAAAUCUGGAAAGAAUUUAAUAAAGUAAGAAAAUCUGGAAGUGCUAAGCCAGAAACCAGGGGUGUGAACAUUGGAAAGGAAAGACUAUCAGAACAAUACUUUUUAUAAAAGAUGUACUGGCAAAAUAAUUUUUACUAGUGGCCCUUGAUAAAUUUAGUGCCUUAAGAAAAAAGAUGGGGUUUGGAAAUGAUCUGAAGUAUUCUCAUGAAGCUUUGCUAAAACUGCAAGAUUGGGAGUUACGGCUAUUGGAAACAGUGAAGAAAUUUAUGGCCAUGAGAAUAAAAAGUGACAAAGAAUACGCAUCCACUUUACAGAACCUUUGCAAUCAGGUUGAUAAAGAGAGUACGUCACAGUUGGAUUAUGUCAGUAACGUAGCAAAGUCAUGGUUGCUCAUUGUCCAACAAACAGAGCAGCUUAGCAAGAUCAUGAAGACACAUGCAGAAGACUUGAAUGCUGGGCCAUUACAUAGACUUACUGUGAUGAUUAAAGACAAACAGCAGAUAAAGAAGAGUUAUGUGGGUGUUCACCAGCAAAUUGAGGCAGAGAUGUUCAAGGUUACAAAAACUGAAUUGGAAAAGUUAAAAUCUAGUUAUAGACAAUUAAUUAAGGAAGUAAACUCUGCCAAAGAAAAAUACAAGGAAGCAUUAUCUAAAGGAAAGGAAACUGAAAAAGCCAAAGAUCGCUAUGAUAAAGCCACAAUGAAACUCCACAUGUUGCACAAUCAAUACGUGUUGGCAUUGAAAGGAGCACAGUUACAUCAGCACCAGUAUUAUGAUGCUACACUUCCUUUGUUCCUUGACUCUUUACAGAAGAUGCAAGAAGAAAUGAUUAAAGGACUGAAAGGAAUCUUAGAAGAAUACAGUCAGAUCACCAGUCUUGUGACAGAAGAACUAGUGAAUGUUCAUAAAGAGAUCCAGAUAUCUGUUGAAGAAUUAGACCCUGGUUCAGAGUACAGUAGUUUCAUGGAAACUCACAGGACAUCAGAUAUUGAACAACAAGAAAUAGAAUUUGAUACAUCAUUAUUAGAAGAAAAUGAAAAUCUUCAAGCCAAUGAGAUUAUGUGGAAUAAUUUGACAGCUGAAGCUUUACAAACUAUGUUAAAAACUGUAGUAGAAGAACUGAUUCAGACACAGCAGACACUUCUAAAUAAGGAGGAACUAGUUCUGGAAUUAGAAAAGAAGAUUGAAGAGUCUUCUAAGAUCUGUGAAAGAAAAUCUGACAUUGUGCUUCUGCUAAGCCAGAAGCAAGCUCUUGAAGAAUUAAAGCAAACUGUUCAGCAGCUGAAAUGCACUGAAGUCAAAUUUGCAGCUCAGAAGGAACUUCUUCAACAAAAAGUGCAAGAAAAUGAUGGGAAAGAGCCCCCACCUGUUGUAAAUUAUGAGGAGGAUGCCAGAUCAGUCUCUUCUAUGGAUAAAAAAGAUAAAGUUUCCAGGUUUGAUACUAUUCGACAUUCCAUUGCUGGUAUGAUAAGAUCACCAAAGUCUAUGUUAGGCUCGUCAUCGGUAAGUGGGCAGUUUUUUGAUGUAAUAUCAGCGGGUGAAAAACCCCUGGCAGAACAAGAUUGGUAUCAUGGGGCAAUCCCAAGAAUAGAAGCUCAAGAGCUAUUAAAACAGCAAGGAGACUUUUUGGUGCGAGAGAGCCAUGGGAAGCCUGGUGAAUAUGUCCUUUCUGUGUUUUCUGAUGGGCAACGGAGACACUUUAUCAUUCAGUAUGCUGAUAAUCAAUACAGAUUUGAAGGAACAGGAUUUUUAACGAUUCCUCAGCUUAUAGAAUAUCAUUAUACAACAAAGCAUGUGAUUACAAAGAAAUCAGGUGUUAUUCUGCUGAAUCCUGUUGUUAAGGAUAAAAAAUGGAUUCUCAAUCAUGAAGACGUCAUUCUGGGAGAAUUACUUGGCAAAGGUAACUUUGGUGAAGUCUAUAAAGGGACAUUAAAAGAUAAAACACCUGUUGCUGUAAAAACAUGUAAAGAAGAUCUUCCUCAAGAACUGAAAAUAAAGUUUUUAUCAGAGGCCAGAAUACUCAAACAAUAUGAUCAUCCCAAUAUCGUAAAACUUAUAGGAGUAUGUACUCAAAGGCAGCCUAUUUAUAUUGUGAUGGAGCUUGUUCCAGGAGGUGAUUUUCUUUCCUUUUUAAGAAAGAAAAAGGAUGAGCUAAAAACCAAACAGUUGGUGAAAUUCUCAUUAGAUGUUGCUGCUGGGAUGGCGUAUCUUGAAUCCAAAAACUGUAUACACAGGGACCUUGCUGCAAGAAACUGUCUAGUAGGUGAAAAUAAUGUUCUGAAAAUUAGUGACUUUGGGAUGUCUCGUCAAGAAGAUGAUGGAGUAUAUUCAUCUUCAGGAUUAAAGCAAAUUCCAAUCAAGUGGACUGCCCCAGAGGCCUUGAACUAUGGACGAUACACUUCUGAGAGUGAUGUAUGGAGUUAUGGGAUUUUCCUCUGGGAGACGUUCAGCUUAGGGGUAUGCCCGUAUCCAGGCAUGACUAAUCAGCAAGCACGGGAACAAGUGGAGAAAGGCUAUCGAAUGUCAGCACCUCAGAAGUGUCCAGAGGAUAUCUAUAAAAUAAUGCAACGAUGUUGGGAUUACAAUCCUGAAAUGAGACCAAAAUUCAGCGAGAUUCACAAAGAGCUGUCUGCACUGAAAAAGAAGGUGACAUCAUGAGAAACUAGCAUGACUCAAAGGACAGGACUUCCUUUUUUGUAGAAAAGUAUUUUUCCUGUCAUAAAUCCAACACAUUUAUAUCAUAUUUCUUCUGAUAUUCUUCUAGGAUUCCUUUUUUAAAUCAAAAAAACUUCUUCUAUUCAAAUGUGCCCAACCUGAAGAAUGUCUAUGUUAAAAACAGAGUGUUCUGCUAAGUGCUUUAUAUGCUGUUAUUUAGGUUUUGUGUAAAUAGAUAAACAUGUAAUAUAUGUGUAGAGUUAGGAAAUUCUGGCUCAUUUAGAUAUUUCUGUGAUAAAUCCCGAAGAAUAUUUUGGGGGCUUUGUUUCUCCUUUUCAAUCCAUGCACUUGCAACAGUCUUAGUGUAAGCCCAAUGCUUCAUGAAUCAUUCCCAUGAAUGUUAAAUGCACAGUUUUCAAUAUAUCUUUUAAGGAAAGGAACAUACAUGUGCAAAAUCACCAGCUGAUGCAAUAUUGAAUAUGUGUUUAUUCAAGAACGUUAUGUAAGGAUAAGACUGCGGAGUUUGGGCACUAAUUGUUUUAAAUACAUUUCAAUAUAGUAAUUGUUUCUAAUAUUGGAUAUUAUUUAUUUGCAUCUUUAAAUGAGAAAAAAAGAGGCACAAUUUGCCAGAAACUGGCAAGCACAAAUCAAUAGUGUAGUUUUUUAUUUUCAGGAAAAAAAAUAUAUUCAAAAGUGAGUGUUACAUGUAAUGCAACUACUGGGAAGUGCUGACUUUCAGAAGAAUGAAUAUAGAAAUAGACAUUUUUAAAUGUGCACAUUCAAUAAUGCAGUCAAUAACAUAUUUGCAAAUGAAAGUAGCGUAUGAUUAAGGUAACCAGUAGCACUGAUUUUACAUUGGAAAAGCAAAGUGAAUUACUUGAUUGGAAACUUUGUGAAUUGAUGUUUCCAUUCUGUAUACCCCUGGAGGAAGAAAUAUACACACAUUCAUACUGUAUCCACUAUCAGUUUCUCAGUUUUGUUUUUAAAAAAGGCCCAGAGAAGAAUAUUGUAAUAAAAAAUUACUAUCUUUGAAAAAGGUAGUUUGCCCUCUAAAGCUACAAACUUGAACAGAAUACAAUUCCAUUUUUCCAGUUAAACUCACCCUUUGUUAAAUUGAUAUUUGGAUGCUCUGAGAAUUAUCAAUCAAUAACCAGCAAAAUUAAUGACUGGAUUUUCCCUGAGGUCCCAAGGAGAAUGACUGAAUCUGUAGCAGGUCAGUUCUGUUGCAAGAGGUUUCAUAUUAUACCUCAGAAGCAGCCAAAUGCUAGUCAUGUUGUAUCAGCAAAUCAGGCACUUCCAGAUGAAGCAAUGUGAUCUUUUGCUCCUUGAAAUAGGGAGAACCAAGAUGUUGGUGAAGUCUGUGAUUGCAAAACAUAUCUGUUUUGCUCAUCAUUCUGGAAGAGCACUUUUGGUCUUUUAUGCAUGUGUUUUGUGGUAGUACAGAGUGGUGAUGUUGAGCAAGAUGUAUUCUACUUUUAGACUAGAAAAAUUGAUGUCAUUUACAUGAUAAAAAUUAAUAUCAGAAUAAAACAGUAAAGCAUUAUAUUGGAGGAAAAUGUUCUUCAUUGUAGAUGAGCUUGUUGGUAACAUAAUGCAAGGGACAUCAGGUUAGUGUUGCCUUAUAUACAAAGAUUGCUUUAUAGUUCGUAAUCCAGUAAAGAGGUAAAAGAAAGGAGAAAUAAAUGUAAUACUGCAGUUUCUAGGUAUAGUAAUGGGCAUAUAUGGAUCAUAAAAAAAAUAUUCAGCAAAAGUAGGAAAAUUGAUUAUUGUGAUCCUAAAGGGAUCCAAAUAGUGUGCCUUUAAUCAUCGGCAUGCCUUUGUUAAUUAAAAUGCACAAGGACUGAAUUUUAAUACCAUAAGGGGAAAAACACCACAAAUUGCCCAGUUGCACAUUUUCGUCUAUGCAUUCACUAAUGUAAAUGUCAGGACAGAAUGUAAAGAAUGUAUUUCCUUGUAUUCAUGAUGUUUUUAGUUUUUUCUUUUAAGGGUUACUAUUUUUAUAUAGGAGAGAUUGUUCCAUUUCUUAAAAUCUUCUGAAUGUAUUCUGUCUUUCAACAUGAAAAAGGACAGCACUUUGUCUUAAAUUGAUUAGAAGGACAACUUGUCCUUAUCUUCUUGUAUAAAUGUAAAGGGUAACUGCUAUUUAUAUUUCAUUUAUGUAAGCAGUUAAAAUUUGCAAUUCAUGUCAGACUGCUGCUCUAAUUUGAAAACAUUUCUGAACAUAAUAUCAGAACAUUGGCCAUUUGUUUUGCCUGUCUCCUGUCCUAAAAUCAGAGGGUCACCUAAAAUCAGAAAUUAGAAUGUAGUCACGGUUCAUUCCCAGAAAGUAAGUUUAGCUAAUUAAUAUUAUAUUUUUCACACAUUCUUACAAUCUACUCUCUUAGUUUGUAACUUAAUUUGUAAAACCAGUUUUACCUACCAUAUCAAACUAUUUAAAUUAUGUUGUAAACCUAUAUCCAUACCAAAUGCAUAUAGUCAUUUCCUUUCUUAAUGGAGUAAGUGAAAGUUUUCUGCAUAAUUAGAAAAUCUAUUGUUCCAGAAUUGAUGUAGUUCUUGUAAAAAAUAAAAUUAGAAUCCCUAUUGCUGGUAAUAUGUAAUACUAAAUAAGCAUUAAAUAUUAAUAAAUAUUAGCAAGAUUUGAAAAUGCAAUAAACUAAAAAAUUGUGAACAAAUUAACAUUUUACAACUAAAUGCCAAAACUUUUGAAGAUAUGUCACAUAAAAAAUAAUUUGAAAUUGAUUUGCACUCUAUACCUUGCUUCACUAUAAAAAUAUGUUUUAAUAAAUUAGCCAUAUAGCGUAAGACUCUUGCCAAAAGCACAUUAUUCUGAAAUACAAGAUCUGUAUACCUUAUAUAUAUAAAAAACAAGGUAAGAAAGCAUUAAAGGCCCACAUUCAUUCAAGAUUAUUUACUAACUUUCCAUUUUUUGAAAUAUUUAUGGACUAUGGUAUGUAUUUUUAUUUAUGAAUGAAAGUAACAAGUGUCAUCUUUUUUGCUAUUUUUAAAUGUUGAUGCAGAUACUAUAGAAGGUUGGAAACAGCAAUUUUAUGAAGCUUGUUUGGUUAGAAAUAUUCAGUUAGUUUGUUAAGUUUUGGGAAGUGAAUCAACUGAUUACAUCAAUUUGUUGAGCCUGGUUGCAUAUUACUGGCAGUAAGGUAGUAAGUAACAAUUUACAGGUCUCUAUCAGUACAAUUUUUAUAUAUUGUACUAGCUGACUAAAAGAUUUAGUACAUUUUGUUUCUUUAAAAUUAACAAAAAGAGCUUUUAACUAUACUAUCUGGAAUUUAUAGAGUUUAAUUAAAGAUGGAGCUCCCCCCCCCUAAUUACUUGCAGUGAAAUACCUGCUUUUAGCUUUUGCAGGUUGCCAGGAUAGGAGGAACCCAUUCUGAACUGAAUCCGUGAAUGUGAGGAUUCUUUAUCAUCAAAAUUUUUCUUCUGCUUCCAAAACUGCUUCUUAUUUCCCAGCAACUGAGCAGCCUGCUCAGCAGGAAAUUAAGAGAGUAGAUUGUAUUCUUUUUCAUCCUGUGCCAUAUUCUCAGUCAGAAUUGUAAGGGGUCUUAAGAAGGAAGCAUUGCUAACUCUAAAAUUCUAUUUUAAACAUUUAUGAAUGUAACAUUUUAAAAAAUGAAUAAGCAGUAGGCCUUGGUCAUACAAUAUUUGUGUAUGUCUUGAAUAACAAAGCAGAUGCCAUUGCAGCACUAAUCUCUCUUUCAUCAGACAAAAUAGAUUAAAUGCCAUAAGAUACUUUAGUCCUGUAGUAUAAUUUCAUGUUAAGAUCCCUAACAGAAGAAAUAGUCCUAAUCUAAGAAGGCACAAGGACUUCGGGGGGGAGGGGGGAAUCAUACAAUUGGAUUUGUCUUUUUUAAAAAAUCAACUUUAGUUUUAUAAAGUAACUGUUACAAGUAGGUCUUAUUGGAAUUUAUAAAUUUUCAUUGAGUUCUAUAAGGUUUUGUUUCAUCCAAUUUAAGACAGAACUUUUACUUGUUUAGCUUUUUCUCCUCUUAGUUGUUAAAACAUUAGCUCUUGAAACUGAAUAAUGUGUAAAAACUGGGUUCAGAAAAAUUGAAUUUCCUCUCUAAUGACUUUUUAUUUUUGACAACAUUUUAGUAUUUAUAAGCAUAAUUUUUUUCUGGCAAGAGGGAAACUGUAAAAAAUUAGGAUGGUAAAAUAAAGGAGAUCUAUAUCCUCUAAAUAAGUUUGUUUUGUGCAAUUUAUUGUGGAGCAAUUGAACAGUGCAAACAUGUUAUUGUUUGGGCUAUUGCACCACAAACUCAAUAAUCCUGAAUUAAAAUAUUGAGCAGAGGGGUAUACACAUUCUAAUUUUGAAUGUAUAUGAACUAAGGGAAAUUUGCUAAUUUUUAGUGGUCACAGAUGUGCUAAACCUAUUAAAAUAGCUAAUAUAGAAAUGAGGCAAAACAGACACAGUCUUUGAAAAAAAGAUCAGCUCCAACUAGUUCUAAAUCUAAUAUAUCAUUUGAUAAAAGGUAGAUAAACUAUGUUAGAUAAUAAGACAAAAGUCACAAUCUUCCCUGGAAAGCCAAUCACAGAAGCACUGCUUUAAAAUUCAUAGCUUAGUUAAACCUUUGGUAGGAUUUCAUUUCUGAUUGUAAAAGUAGAAGGAUUCAUUUUAUGUAAUUAGGCCCAUCAUUAACCCCUAGGAAAAGGGGGGGAUCUUCUAAAUGCCCUUAACAGCGGAAACUAAGGAUGACAGUGUAUGAAGAAAAAAACUCCUUAAGUUAAGAAAAGGAAGUCAGUGCUAUUAUUAUUUAUUGAUUCAGGAAAGAACAGGCAGAACAGACAUACCAGAUUAUUGUUCUCAAGGCAUAAAGGAAUAACAGAAGAUGUUAUUCUUUUUUAAAAAAUGUAUUCAGAAAGGUAUAAGGUGGAAAGAAAAAAUACAACUUGUAGAUAAACAAAACAGAAUGAUAAAAAAAUGUGCAUAGAAAGCAUAACCGAACCUUUAGGUUACGCAUAUUUUUAAUUUUAUGCUUAAUUCUGUCAUGGCUAGUCUUACGGCUUUUGAAUUCUGAAUCCCAGGACACAAAUUGCAAGAUAAUUCUGUGUCAUCAAAUGCCAUGCCAGCUUUCAGCCAAACUCAAGAAAGAUAUGUGAUUACCACGGUAUCUUUUAACUGAUUUAGCAGAAGUGUUGAGAAACACUGGUAUAGAGACAGAAGCAGAAGUCGAUCUGAGACUAGAGAAGUAUGUUUUCCAAAUUGCAUUUUCUCCAUCUUUCCCCCUGCCCACGCCCAGCUCCUCAUUGUCAUAAAGUGGUUAGGGACACUGCGGCUUUUAGCAAGCUGCAGUAGAAAUUAAGACAUUUUCUAUAAGAAUACCACAAGAGUUUACAGCUUUAUUACAUGUAUUUUGUUGUAAUUGUUUUACCACUAGUUAGUUCCAAUAUAAGCACCAGCAGUUUUAAUACCAGGUAAAGCACCUUUAUUGUUUAAAAAUAAUAUAUUUGUGCAACAUAUAGUUUAUACAUAACACUGGAAUGAAUUGCAUUCUUCAAAAUACAGGUGCUCUGAUUGCCUAUAUAUACUUAAUAGUCAUCUGUUCUUUUGCAAUUUUAGCAGAUCUACAUUUUAACUUUUAUUUAUUUCUCAUUUUUUGUAUUCAGAUUGAACCAAAAUUAACCUUAUUUCACUUUCCUAGCCUAUUAUAAAAAGGAGUAUUUUGUUUAUUUAGAAACUGUGCAGAUAAUUUUCAAUGGCCUCUCUCUCUUUAACUGGACCAUCUACAAUUAACUGGUGUUCAGUACCUUUUUUUACUGUAUUACUUCAAUAAAUGUAAAAUAUUUGUACUGAG